GAGUCAGUUGGCUGUUUUGUGAGGCAGAAAGGGUCAGUGCUCUGAGGAGCUGCCCAUGAGGAACACCAAGAAGGUAUGGAACUUUUGUGAUAGGGCGACAACAGUACGGAACCCCUGUGAUAGGAUGGCAGCGAGUAUUGGAUAUCUACUGCCGUUUUACCAUUGAGACCUAUUUAUAUCCACAUCUAGCCAGAUUAGUUUUCUAAGCUGGACUGUGGUGCAGGAUUAUUCAUGCUUCAUUGCCUCCAGCUUUACUAGUCCAUCACCUGCCGCUUAGCAACGUGAGCAUUACAAGUCCCAUUCUGGGAGGAGUAAUCUUGCACAGGAAAGGAUGAAACCAGUUUGGGUCCCAUGGCAAGGGCUGGCUUCUGCUAUCACAGGUGCAGCAAGUCAAGAUAAGGAUUGUUUCUCGUUCUUUCCUCUGGUCUUCUCACAGAAUUUUCCCCAGAACAAUGCCUGGAAAAGUUGUUUCUCUAUGUGGCCAGAGAGCUGCUGCUACACUCAAGCCCUGUGGUUUUUAGUGUGACCUCCUGGAAAAUGAUGGUACCACUCAGUCUCUCCUUCUUAACUACAUCUUUUGACUGAUAUUUCCUUUCUACCUGUGCAUGUUGAAAGGACAGGAAGUUCUUGGAAUUUUUGUAGUUUUUUUCACUGAAAGCAGGUGGGGCUGAAUGUAUAGAAUGGAAUCCCCAUGUUCUGCACAUCUCAGUCUAAGAGGAUACCAUCCAUGCCCUUGGGACAUGGGGCCAGCAGGCACUACUCAGUACAGCAUGAGGGACCUGGCAGGCAGGGAGCUUCUGCUGGCAGUGCUUUCAGAGGACUGUGGGACAAGCUUUCCACUGGCUCUUCAGGGACAGUCUCUGGCCUUCAGGCUUUCUUUUUGCUCAUAUUUUGUUUAUACCCUUUAUAUGGUUUAUCAACUUUUUCCUUGAAGUCAUAAAAUCCCUGAAAUCAAAUUGAUUGAGCUUUUCCUGGUUAAUAAGUUAUCAGGCAAUGAAGCCAACAGAAGGGGGAAACAUUUGGAGCAGCAUCAUCAUCAUAUAUAUAUCCUUAAACAUCAUAAACUACAUAAGUCACUGUUGUACAUUAAGAAGCAAUUGUCAGGAAGGUGCUAUGGGACAGUAUCUGCUGUCCUUCAAUGACUACUGGAUUAAAUGUACUCAAUUUAGAGCUAAAAUGUCAGGCUAGAGCCUUCUUUCCAUUCAUGCCUCACUGAUGAGGUGCAGCCUGAGAUUAUGUGUAGCAGAUGGCUCGAUGUUGACUAACGGCACAAUGCCUCAGUGGCACAUUUCCUUUUGCACUGGGUAGCACAUUAGUGGCAGGAGACAUUGGCAAUGCACCUUUCAUCUCCUGAGCUGCCUCAGAGAUUUGCUGGGGGAAUUGCCUUAUGUUACUAAUCUGUUGCUGUCCAUGUAAACCCUGCUGCAGGAUGAUGGCAGCACAUCAUGCUCAUUUUGGAAGGGGAGGAGGGCAGAAAUAGUGCUGAAAACAUGGAGUUAAGUGUGUGUGAAGAACAGUGAACCUUCUGAGCCAUUCCGUUAUCAUUGGACCUCAUGAUAGGAUAUUUGAUUUCAGUUUCUGGAGCGAAAUGAAUGUCAAAUUGCCAAUUAGCCAUUGCAGAAUAAUUCUGAGCUCCAACAUGUUUGUAAUUUAGCUUCUGUGUGUUUCUAUUCACAUUGCCUGAGCUGUCCAUGCUAAGAGCUGCUUCCCAUAAGCCUCCUUUGUUCACAUGCACCUACAACACUUGUACAGCUGGAUACACAGGAUCCUCACCCUGAUCCCACUCUGCCAUCACUGCUGAGCCUGCUGGUGCCCUGUGAACAACAGCAUCUUCCUUUUCCUGCUGAAUUCAAAUUCAGUGCAAUAAACCCCUACUUUAGCCUCUUUUGAUUAAAAAACAACAAACAUAGUAUAUCUGGAUGUAAUGUGGAUAUUAAUGGCAGCUUCAUUGAUGUGCUGUCACUUCUGAAAUCACCUGCAUUUAUUGAGUGCAGAGGAUGCCUCUGACUACAGCACCUCAGGCCUGAAGGUGGUGGCCCUUGUGACACUCCUCUGAGAGGAGAGUCCUUGUGUGAAGGCAAGCUGCUCUGGAAGAAGGCAAAACAAUUACAGGAGUACAUAUGAAGCUGUGUAGCAAGCUUCUAUUCCA
Molecule: long non-coding RNA, 2149 nt
Organism: Zonotrichia leucophrys gambelii
Lineage: Eukaryota; Metazoa; Chordata; Aves; Passeriformes; Passerellidae
Exons: 3
Source: RefSeq, a predicted model, not a curated record